CAAAGUAUAGCUUAACUUAAAGCCCCUCGCUUACACCGAGAUGAUAUCCGUUAGACCCAGAUUACUUUGA
RNAcentral lists this transfer RNA (70 nucleotides) under Xenopus epitropicalis (Cameroon clawed frog). Its description in RNAcentral is "tRNA-Val". It matches the Rfam family "tRNA". Rfam says of the family: Transfer RNA (tRNA) molecules are approximately 80 nucleotides in length. Their secondary structure includes four short double-helical elements and three loops (D, anti-codon, and T loops). Further hydrogen bonds mediate the characteristic L-shaped molecular structure. tRNAs have two regions of fundamental functional importance: the anti-codon, which is responsible for specific mRNA codon recognition, and the 3' end, to which the tRNAs corresponding amino acid is attached (by aminoacyl-tRNA synthetases). tRNAs cope with the degeneracy of the genetic code in two manners: having more than one tRNA (with a specific anti-codon) for a particular amino acid; and 'wobble' base-pairing, i.e. permitting non-standard base-pairing at the 3rd anti-codon position. The record is from RNAcentral. Lineage: Eukaryota; Metazoa; Chordata; Amphibia; Anura; Pipidae.